UACGUAGGGUGCGAGCGUUGUCCGGAAUUAUUGGGCGUAAAGAGCUCGUAGGCGGUUUGUCGCGUCGACUGUGAAAACCUACAGCUUAACUGUGGGCUUGCAGUCGAUACGGGCAGGCUAGAGUUCGGCAGGGGAGACUGGAAUUCCUGGUGUAGCGGUGAAAUGCGUAGAUAUCUGGAGGAACACCGGUGGCGAAGGCGGCAUCCUGGACCGGUAUUGACGCUGAUGCGCGAAAGCCAGGGGAGCAAACGGG
Molecule: ribosomal RNA, 253 nt
Filed under: uncultured bacterium
Lineage: Bacteria
Description: partial 16S ribosomal RNA
Rfam family: Bacterial small subunit ribosomal RNA
Source: RNAcentral